UUAUUUGUAGGUUUUUGCAAAGAGGCUGUCCGAGGAAAAAAUGGAUGGUUUGAAAGAGUAGGUUUUGCACUAUGUCGGUGUUGGUUCGCGAUUUCAAAUUUGGAGUAGUAUGUCCUUUUGAUUGAUAACUCAAACAGCAGGUCCUUUUUCUAGCGAGUUUUCGUCGGGGAAGCAAGGGAAAUCGAAGGGGACGGAGUUCAAGCAGGCGAUAAAAGUUGGAGAAGAGGGAAACAAAUACUUUACUCGUCGCAUUUAUGGACCGACAUCCACCAUUUGGGUUCUGAAUAAUCUACAACUGCUGAUACAAUGGUAGGUUUGAUAGUUAUAAAAUUUUAAUUUAGGGUCACGUGACAUCAGUCUCUUAAUCUAUCCGUCAUAUCGAGAGACAUCGUGUACGCUUAUUGAUAAAACUUUUUUGCUCCUUACU
This is a long non-coding RNA of Vicia villosa (hairy vetch), 427 nucleotides long. RefSeq lists it as uncharacterized. NCBI's taxonomy places the organism in Eukaryota, Viridiplantae, Streptophyta, Magnoliopsida, Fabales, Fabaceae. The transcript is spliced from 3 exons. The record is from RefSeq and is a predicted model, not a curated record.